CAGACAUUGCUAAGUAGCAUCAUUUCUAUGAAGAAUGUAAACACUAUCAUUCUUGAAACAAGACGUCCAAUUAUAUGAGAAUCAAUGAUUUAGUUACUCCAGACCUUAGCCACUACAAUCCAGGAUAUCAAUCUCCAAGCAGAAUAACAGAAACUGGGUGAGAGGGGAGCACACACGGGCAGCUGGAGGAAGAAACAUGUCAUUUUCCACGUGUAAACAGAGCAGCUAGAUAUUGAGCAUGAAGCAUGAGUCAAUGAGCUCUAUGAAGACCUGGCCUGCGCCCAUCAUCUCUAUGACCCUAGAUGUCAGCACUGCACCUGGCAUAGCUGAAGGCCUCUGCAUCAUGCUGCAGUUGUGGAGCCAGAAGCUUUCCAGACCUGGAGGGAGAAAGGGCCUUGGCUGGAGGAAGAGAAAUCUCCUAGAUCUGAGAAGAGUUCACGAGCCCCGCCUCUCAAGCCCUUUAUCAUGUAACAUUCUUGCUGUGGCUCAACCAGGCCAUCUGUUGUUACCUCAUCCUUCAGUGUCCAUGUUCUCUCCCUCCUCCAUCUGUGCAUAUGACUCUCGGGUUUUCUACUAUGACAUUUCCCCACUCUCCUACCAAGUGAGGGGCUUGGGAUUGGUUUUCCAAGGAACUGGCUUCCUGUACUAUUUGGGAGGCUGGCUGCAAAGCUAUGUUGUCCUAAGUACUAAAUACAAUAUUAAAUAAUCCCUGGUAAAAGAUUUUUAGGAAUUACUAUCUCACAA
Molecule: long non-coding RNA, 744 nt
Organism: Hyaena hyaena (striped hyena)
Lineage: Eukaryota; Metazoa; Chordata; Mammalia; Carnivora; Hyaenidae
Exons: 3
Source: RefSeq, a predicted model, not a curated record